CCUACGGGUGGCAGCAGUGAGGAAUAUUGGUCAAUGGACGAAAGUCUGAACCAGCCAUGCCGCGUGCAGGAUGACGGCCCUAUGAGUUGUAAACUGCUUUUGUAUUAGGGUAAACACCCCUACGUGUAGGGGCUUGAAAGUAUAAUACGAAUAAGGAUCGGCUAACUCCGUGCCAGCAGCCGCGGUAAUACGGAGGAUCCAAGCGUUAUCCGGAUUUAUUGGGUUUAAAGGGUGCGCAGGCGGCCUGUUAUGUCAGCGGUAAAAGCCCGGGGCUAAACCCCGCCGAGCCGUUGAAACUGGCAGGCUGGAGUUGGAGAGAGGUACGCGGAAUGCGCGGUGUAGCGGUGAAAUGCUUAGAGAUCGCGCAGAACCCCGAUUGCGAAGGCGGCGUACCGGAUCCACACUGACGCUGAGGCACGAAAGCGUGGGUAUCGAACAGGAUUAGAUACCCCUGUAGUC
This 459-nucleotide ribosomal RNA is filed under the name uncultured bacterium. Its description in RNAcentral is "partial 16S ribosomal RNA". It matches the Rfam family "Bacterial small subunit ribosomal RNA", at positions 338 to 795 of the family's 1533-position model. The record is from RNAcentral.